GACGAACGCUGGCGGCGUGCUUAACACAUGCAAGUCGAACGGAAAGGCCCUGCUUUUGUGGGGUGCUCGAGUGGCGAACGGGUGAGUAACACGUGAGUAACCUGCCCUUGACUUUGGGAUAACUUCAGGAAACUGGGGCUAAUACCGGAUAGGAGCUCCUGCUGCAUGGUGGGGGUUGGAAAGUUUCGGCGGUUGGGGAUGGACUCGCGGCUUAUCAGCUUGUUGGUGGGGUAGUGGCUUACCAAGGCUUUGACGGGUAGCCGGCCUGAGAGGGUGACCGGCCACAUUGGGACUGAGAUACGGCCCAGACUCCGACGGGAGGCAGCAGUGGGGAAUAUUGCACAAUGGGCGGAAGCCUGAUGCAGCAACGCCGCGUGCGGGAUGACGGCCUUCGGGUUGUAAACCGCUUUCGCCUGUGACGAAGCGUGAGUGACGGUAAUGGGUAAAGAAGCACAGGCUAACUAAGUG
This 468-nucleotide ribosomal RNA is filed under the name uncultured bacterium. RNAcentral describes it as "partial 16S ribosomal RNA". It matches the Rfam family "Bacterial small subunit ribosomal RNA", at positions 28 to 507 of the family's 1533-position model. The record is from RNAcentral.